CCUACGGGAGGCAGCAGUGAGGAAUAUUGGUCAAUGGACGAGAGUCUGAACCAGCCAAGUAGCGUGAAGGAUGACUGCCCUAUGGGUUGUAAACUUCUUUUAUAAAGGAAUAAAACGAGGCACGUGUGCCUUUUUGCAUGUACUUUAUGAAUAAGGAUCGGCUAACUCCGUGCCAGCAGCCGCGGUAAUACGGAGGAUCCGAGCGUUAUCCGGAUUUAUUGGGUUUAAAGGGAGCGUAGAUGGGUUGUUAAGUCAGUUGUGAAAGUUUGCGGCUCAACCGUAAAAUUGCAAUUGAUACUGGCAGUCGUGAGUACAGUUGAGGUAGGCGGAAUUCGUGGUGUAGCGGUGAAAUGCUUAGAUAUCACGAAGAACCCCGAUUGCGAAGGCAGCUUACUAAACUGUGACUGACAUUGAUGCUCGAAAGUGUGGGUAUCAAACAGGAUUAGCUACCCCUGUAGUC
Molecule: ribosomal RNA, 460 nt
Filed under: uncultured bacterium
Lineage: Bacteria
Description: partial 16S ribosomal RNA
Rfam family: Bacterial small subunit ribosomal RNA
Source: RNAcentral